UCCAGAAUUGGCCUCGACUUAAGUUUUAUGUU
RNAcentral lists this non-coding RNA (32 nucleotides) under Mus musculus (house mouse). The record is from RNAcentral. Lineage: Eukaryota; Metazoa; Chordata; Mammalia; Rodentia; Muridae.